Molecule: ribosomal RNA, 605 nt
Filed under: uncultured fungus
Lineage: Eukaryota; Fungi
Description: eukaryotic LSU rRNA
Rfam family: 5.8S ribosomal RNA (bases 205-358)
Source: RNAcentral
AGUAAAAGUCGUAACAAGGUCUCCGUUGGUGAACCAGCGGAGGGAUCAUUACAGAGUUAUCCAACUCCCAAACCCAUGUGAACUUAUCUCUUUGUUGCCGCGGCGCAAGCUACCCGGGACCUCGCGCCCCGGGGGGCCCGCCGGCGGACAAACCAAACUCUGUUAUCUUCGUUGAUUAUCUGAGUGUCUUAUUUAAUAAGUCAAAACUUUCAACAACGGAUCUCUUGGUCCUGGCAUCGAUGAAGAGCGCAGCGAAAUGCGAUAAGUAAUGUGAAUUGCAGAAUUCAGUGAAUCAUCGAAUCUUUGAACGCACAUUGCGCCCAUUAGUAUUCUAGUGGGCAUGCCUGUUCGAGCGUCAUUUCAACCCCUAAGCACAGCUUAUUGUUGGGACUCUACGGCUUCGUAGUUCCCCAAAGACAUUGGCGGAGUGGCAGCAGUCCUCUGAGCGUAGUAAUUCUUUAUCUCGCUUUUGUUAGGCGCUGCCCCCCCGGCCGUAAAACCCCCAAUUUUUUCUGGUUGACCUCGGAUCAGGUAGGAAUACCCGCUGAACUUAAGCAUAUCAAUAAGCGGAGGAAAAGAAACCAACAGGGAUUGCCCCAGUAACG